UCCAGACUCCUACGGGAGGCAGCAGUGGGGAAUAUUGCACAAUGGGGGAAACCCUGAUGCAGCGACGCCGCGUGAGUGAGGAAGUAUUUCGGUAUGUAAAGCUCUAUCAGCAGGGAAGAAAAUGACGGUACCUGACUAAGAAGCCCCGGCUAACUACGUGCCAGCAGCCGCGGUAAUACGUAGGGGGCAAGCGUUAUCCGGAUUUACUGGGUGUAAAGGGAGCGUAGGCGGCUGUGUAAGCCAGAAGUGAAAGCCCGGGGCUCAACUCCGGGACUGCUUUUGGAACUACAUGGCUUGAUUGCAGGAGAGGCAAGUGGAAUUCCUAGUGUAGCGGUGAAAUGCGUAGAUAUUAGGAGGAACACCAGUGGCGAAGGCGGCUUGCUGGACUGUAAAUGACGCUGAGGCUCGAAAGCGUGGGGAGCAAACAGGAUUAGAUACCCCGGUACCG
Molecule: ribosomal RNA, 448 nt
Filed under: uncultured bacterium
Lineage: Bacteria
Description: bacterial SSU rRNA
Rfam family: Bacterial small subunit ribosomal RNA
Source: RNAcentral